Molecule: long non-coding RNA, 504 nt
Organism: Mytilus californianus (California mussel)
Lineage: Eukaryota; Metazoa; Mollusca; Bivalvia; Mytilida; Mytilidae
Exons: 5
Source: RefSeq, a predicted model, not a curated record
UAGCAAGUGCAGUUGGAAAAAGAGAUUCUGUGGCUUGUGCACAGUGUUGUUCUGAUCCAAUUAAGAACUCAACAUUGAUCCCAUGCAACGGUUACCUAUGCAAUCAGAAUCCUAAACCAGCAGGAUCAACUUGUGGGGUGUGUGACAGGGUCAGUGAUCCAAAAGAUUGCUCUGUUGACCAACAAUGCCAACCAAAUGAGGUUUGCAAGGUCAAUACCCUCUUUACUGGUGGUGCUUUAAAGUAUGAACUUGGGUGUGAGCUUAAAACUAUAUGUGAUAAAAUUUUAAAAGAAUAUAGAAGCACUCAUACUACAGUGGCUACAGGUAGAAGAGCCGACCACGGAGAUCUUACGCUAUGCUCUGCCUGCUGUGAUACUUUAAGUUGUAACAAAGAGCAAUGCUCUGACGUUAUUAAAACUCAGACAUGUCACAACUCAACUAUUUGUGGUUAAGAAACACAAGGAAGGAUUGAUUACACAAACAUACUGCAAUAGUUUAACACUG